UUGGGUCUAAUAAGAUGUCUGAUUGCAAAUUGGAUGGUGGGUUUAAUAGCCCUUAGGCCU
This 60-nucleotide transfer RNA is filed under the name Ctenophorus chapmani (Bight heath dragon). Its description in RNAcentral is "tRNA-Cys". Lineage: Eukaryota; Metazoa; Chordata; Lepidosauria; Squamata; Agamidae. The record is from RNAcentral.